Molecule: unclassified non-coding RNA, 550 nt
Filed under: Hevea brasiliensis (rubber tree)
Lineage: Eukaryota; Viridiplantae; Streptophyta; Magnoliopsida; Malpighiales; Euphorbiaceae
Source: RNAcentral
CUCACACAAUGAUCAGCUCCACAGGAGGCAAGCUGCACGGUCUCAGAAUCUUCGCUCUUCUGAGGAUUUCUCCAAGAUAGUCGUUGAACAGUAGAGACGUGGCAUAGAAAUGGAUCAAACUUGACAGCGGGAGAAGCAUUUUGGACUGAUAAAUGCCCAUCUCCUCCUCUGCUAUCCAGAUUCCAUAGUUCAAUCAAGCCAUUUUCCAUUCCCACUGCAAGAAGCCCAUGAUUGCUAUGGUUAUCGAGACUUAACCAAGACAGGGCAGUGACGCUGCUUUUGAAAGGUGGAAGUGUCAACAGUAGCUUCACCGAGGUUUCAGUUCCCACGGCCCAUAUUUUGACAGUUUUGUCCCUUGAACCAGUAGCAAAUUCAUGACCAAAUGGGUUCCAAGAACAUGACCAUAUUAUUCUUUUAUGUGCUUCUUGCUUAGCUACGAGCUGGUAAUCGAUCUCAUCAGUUCCUUUAUGAUUAAUUUGAAAAACAGAGAAGUGGCGAUCUCUUGAAACAGCCAAGAGAUACUUGUUAUCAUGAGAGAACUCCAUUUGGG